This 508-nucleotide ribosomal RNA is filed under the name Glomus sp. Glo23. RNAcentral describes it as "SSU rRNA". It matches the Rfam family "Eukaryotic small subunit ribosomal RNA", at positions 569 to 1078 of the family's 1831-position model. The record is from RNAcentral. Lineage: Eukaryota; Fungi; Glomeromycota; Glomeromycetes; Glomerales; Glomeraceae.
AGCAGCCGCGGUAAUUCCAGCUCCAAUAGCGUAUAUUAAAGUUGUUGCAGUUAAAAAGCUCGUAGUUGAAUUUCGGGGUUAGUAGGUUGGUCAUGCCUCUGGUAUGUACUGGUCUCACUGAUUCCUCCUUCCUGAUGAACCUUAAUGCCAUUAAUUUGGUGUUUUGGGGAAUUUGGACUGUUACUUUGAAAAAAUUAGAGUGUUUAAAGCAAGCUAACGCUUGAAUACAUUAGCAUGGAAUAAUGAAAUAGGACGUUCGAUCCUAUUUUGUUGGUUUCUAGGAUUGACGUAAUGAUUAAUAGGGAUAGUUGGGGGCAUUAGUAUUCAAUUGUCAGAGGUGAAAUUCUUGGAUUUAUUGAAGACUAACUACUGCGAAAGCAUUUGCCAAGGAUGUUUUCAUUAAUCAAGAACGAAAGUUAGGGGAUCGAAGACGAUCAGAUACCGUCGUAGUCUUAACCAUAAACUAUGUCGACUAGGGAUCGGAUGAUGUUAAUUUUUUAAUGACUCA